This 665-nucleotide ribosomal RNA is filed under the name uncultured Micromonosporaceae bacterium. RNAcentral's name for it is "bacterial SSU rRNA". It matches the Rfam family "Bacterial small subunit ribosomal RNA", at positions 136 to 816 of the family's 1533-position model. The record is from RNAcentral. Lineage: Bacteria; Bacillati; Actinomycetota; Actinomycetes; Micromonosporales; Micromonosporaceae.
CUUUGGGAUAACCCUCGGAAACGGGGGCUAAUACCGAAUAUUACCUUCGAUCGCAUGGUUGUGGGUGGAAAGUUUUUCGGCUUGGGAUGGGCUCGCGGCCUAUCAGCUUGUUGGUGGGGUGAUGGCCUACCAAGGCGACGACGGGUAGCCGGCCUGAGAGGGCGACCGGCCACACUGGGACUGAGACACGGCCCAGACUCCUACGGGAGGCAGCAGUGGGGAAUAUUGCACAAUGGGCGGAAGCCUGAUGCAGCGACGCCGCGUGAGGGAUGACGGCCUUCGGGUUGUAAACCUCUUUCAGCAGGGACGAAGCGUGAGUGACGGUACCUGCAGAAGAAGCACCGGCCAACUACGCGCCAGCAGCCGCGGUAAGACGUAGGGUGCGAGCGUUGUCCGGAUUUAUUGGGCGUAAAGAGCUCGUAGGCGGCUUGUCGCGUCGACUGUGAAAACCCGCGGCUCAACCGCGGGCCUGCAGUCGAUACGGGCAGGCUAGAGUUCGGUAGGGGAGACUGGAAUUCCUGGUGUAGCGGUGAAAUGCGCAGAUAUCAGGAGGAACACCGGUGGCGAAGGCGGGUCUCUGGGCCGAUACUGACGCUGAGGAGCGAAAGCGUGGGGAGCGAACAGGAUUAGAUACCCUGGUAGUCCACGCUGUAAACGUUGGGCGC